This 240-nucleotide unclassified non-coding RNA is filed under the name Hevea brasiliensis (rubber tree). Lineage: Eukaryota; Viridiplantae; Streptophyta; Magnoliopsida; Malpighiales; Euphorbiaceae. The record is from RNAcentral.
GGUGGGAGGUAGAGGCGAGCUGAGACGCCGUUGAUGGGGUCGAUGAUGACGUCUUUGGAGUCAACGCCAGCGGAGGGAUCGAUAGUGGCGGGGACAACGUCGGUGCCGAGGAGGCGUUCGAUGCGGCCGCUCUUGAAUAGGCGGAGAAAAGGUGGAAGAUCGAGCUCGAUCUCUGUGUUGGGAUCCAUUGGGGAGGUAGAAGAUGAUGGGAAGACAAAGAUUGUUUUGGUCCUAUAAAAU